Molecule: unclassified non-coding RNA, 263 nt
Filed under: plant metagenome
Description: partial contains small subunit ribosomal RNA, internal transcribed spacer 1, and 5.8S ribosomal RNA
Source: RNAcentral
UUUCCGUAGGUGAACCUGCGGAAGGAUCAUUAUUGUAUAACCGAGGUGCGAGGGCUGUCGCUGACCCGAAAGGUCGUGCACGCCCGAGUACCCUCACACACAUCCAUCUCACCCCUAUGUGCACCACCGCGUGGGUCCCCCUUUGGCUUGUUCGGAGGGGGGCUUACGUUUUCACACAAACUUUGUAUGCAGUGUAGAAUGUAUUUUUUGUUUUUGCGAUCACGCAAUCAAUACAACUUUCAACAACGGAUCUCUUGGCUCUC